Molecule: ribosomal RNA, 497 nt
Filed under: uncultured bacterium
Lineage: Bacteria
Description: partial 16S ribosomal RNA
Rfam family: Bacterial small subunit ribosomal RNA
Source: RNAcentral
GAUGAACGCUGGCGGCGUGCCUAAUACAUGCAAGUCGAGCGAACAGACGAUGAGCUUGCUCCUCUGACGUUAGCGGCUGACGGGUGAGUAACACGUGGAUAACCUACCUAUAAGACUGGGAUAACUUCGGGAAACCGGAGCUAAUACCGGAUAAUAUAUUGAACCGCAUGGUUCAAUAGUUAAAGACGGUUUUGCUGUCACUUAUAGAUGAAUCCGCGCCGCAUUAGCUAGUUGGUAAGGUAACGGCUUACCAAGGCAACGAUGCGUAGCCGACCUGAGAGGGUGAUCGGCCACACUGGAACUGAGACACGGUCCAGACUCCUACGGGAGGCAGCAGUAGGGAAUCUUCCGCAAUGGGCGAAAGCCUGACGGAGCAACGCCGCGUGAGUGAUGAAGGUCUUCGGAUCGUAAAACUCUGUUAUUAGGGAAGAACAAAUGUGUAAGUAAAUAUGCACGUCUUGACGGUACCUAAUCAGAAAGCCACGGCUAACUACGUG